Long non-coding RNA from Maniola jurtina (meadow brown), 94 nucleotides. RefSeq lists it as uncharacterized. The transcript has 3 exons. The record is from RefSeq and is a predicted model, not a curated record. NCBI's taxonomy places the organism in Eukaryota, Metazoa, Arthropoda, Insecta, Lepidoptera, Nymphalidae.
CUAAAUCUACUGCUAUCCUUUUCCACGGGGAACAUUAUGAGAAGGAUAGCAAUACGUUUAGAUCUGUCAUUUUAAUUUAGUUUAGAGAUUGUGU